RNAcentral lists this ribosomal RNA (253 nucleotides) under uncultured bacterium. RNAcentral describes it as "partial 16S ribosomal RNA". It matches the Rfam family "Bacterial small subunit ribosomal RNA", at positions 524 to 776 of the family's 1533-position model. The record is from RNAcentral.
UACGUAGGGUGCGAACGUUGUCCGGAAUUACUGGGCGUAAAGAGCUCGUAGGCGGUUUGUCGCGUCGUCUGUGAAAUUCUGCAACUCAAUUGUAGGCGUGCAGGCGAUACGGGCAGACUUGAGUACUACAGGGGAGACUGGAAUUCCUGGUGUAGCGGUGAAAUGCGCAGAUAUCAGGAGGAACACCGGUGGCGAAGGCGGGUCUCUGGGUAGUAACUGACGCUGAGGAGCGAAAGCGUGGGGAGCGAACAGG